GAUGAACGCUGGCGGCGUGCCUAAUACAUGCAAGUCGAGCGAACAGACGGGGAGCUUGCCCCUCUGCCGUUAGCGACGGACGGGUGAGUCCUACGUGGCUACCCUACCUAUAAGACUGAGAUCACUUCGCGAACGCGGAUCUCAUACCGGAUAAUAUAUUGAACCGCAUGGUUCAAUAGUGAACGACGUAUUUGCUGUCACUUAUAGAUGGAUCCGGGCCGCAUUAGUUAGUGGGUAGGGUAACGGCUUACCAAGGCAGCGAUGCGUAGCUGACCUGAGAGGGUGAUCGGCACCACGGGAACGGGGACACGGCCCAGACUCCUACGGGAGGCACCGUUGGGAAAUCUUCCGCAAGGGGCGAAGGCCUGACGGGCCAACGCGGCGUGAGGGAGGAGGGUCUUCGGAUCGUAAAACUUUGUUGUUAGGGGAGAGGAAAUGUGUAUGUAACUAUGCACGUCUGAACGGUACCUAAGCAGAAGGCCCGGCCAAACUACUG
This 496-nucleotide ribosomal RNA is filed under the name uncultured bacterium. RNAcentral's name for it is "partial 16S ribosomal RNA". It matches the Rfam family "Bacterial small subunit ribosomal RNA", at positions 28 to 507 of the family's 1533-position model. The record is from RNAcentral.